ACCAGCUCUAGCCCACCCCCACCCCCCUUUUACUACCAUAGACCAAUCAAAUAAAACAUUCACCAACCUUCUAAAGUAUAGGAGAUAGAAAUUUAAACAUCAGUGGCGCUAUAGAAAUAGUACCGUAAGGGAAAGAUGAAAGAAAAACCCAAAAGUAAUAAAAAGCAAAGCUUACCCCUUGUACCUUUUGCAUAAUGACUUAACUAGUAAUAACUUAGCAAAGAGACCUUAAGUUAAACUACCCGAAACCAGACGAGCUACUUAUGAGCAGUACCUAGGACGAACUCAUCUAUGUGGCAAAAUAGUGAGAAGACUUAUAAGUAGAGGUGAAAAGCCUAACGAGCCUGGUGAUAGCUGGUUGUCCAUGAAAAGAAUCUCAGUUCAACAUUAAAUGAUACUAAAAGCCAUGCCAAGCCUUGACGUACAUUUAACUGUUAGUCUAAAAAGGUACAGCUUUUUAGAUAUGGGUACAACCUUCACUAGAGAGUAAAACCAAACAUACACCAUAGUUGGCCUAAAAGCAGCCAUCAAUUAAGAAAGCGUUCAAGCUCGACAAUAAAACAAUGUUUUAAUUCCAACAUUAGACAAAUCAACUCCUAGCAUGAUUAUUGGACUAAUCUAUAUAAACAUAGAAGCAACACUGUUAAUAUGAGUAACAAGAAAUUUUUCUCCUAGCACGAGCUUAUAUUAGUAACUGAUAAUAUACUAAUAAUUAACAGCAAAUAAAUAAAAUCUAACACUAGACUAUUUAUUAAGACACUGUUAACCCAACACAGGAGUGCAUUAAGGAAAGAUUAAAAAAAGUAAAAGGAACUCGGCAAACACAAACCCCGCCUGUUUACCAAAAACAUCACCUCUAGCAUAACCAAUAUUAGAGCACUGCCUGCCCGGUGACUAAUCGUUAAACGGCCGCGGUAUCCUGACCGUGCAAAGGUAGCAUAAUCACUUGUUCUCUAAUUAAGGACUUGUAUGAACGGCCACACGAGGGUUUUACUGUCUCUUACUUUUAAUCAGUGAAAUUGACCUCCCCGUGAAGAGGCGGGGAUAACAAAAUAAGACGAGAAGACCCUAUGGAGCUUCAAUUAAUCAACCCAAAAAUCACAACCUUAAACCACCAAGGGAUAACAAAAUUUUAUAUGGGCUGACAAUUUCGGUUGGGGUGACCUCGGAGCACAAAAAAUCCUCCGAGUGAUUAAAACUUAGGCUCACUAGCCAAAGUGUAAUAUCACUUAUUGAUCCAAUCUCUUGAUCAACGGAACAAGUUACCCUAGGGAUAACAGCGCAAUCCUAUUCUAGAGUCCAUAUCGACAAUAGGGUUUACGACCUCGAUGUUGGAUCAGGACAUCCUAAUGGUGCAGCCACUAUUAAGGGUUCGUUUGUUCAACGAUUAAAGUCCUACGUGAUCUGAGUUCAGACCGGAGUAAUCCAGGUCGGUUUCUAUCUAUUACGCAUUUCUCCUAGUACGAAAGGACAAGAGAAAUAAGGCCAACUUCAAACAAGCGCCUUCAAAUAAUUAAUGACCUAGUCUCAACUUAAUAACCAAGCGCAAACAAGUAUGCCCAAGACCAGGGCCCU
This 1575-nucleotide ribosomal RNA is filed under the name Balaenoptera musculus (blue whale). Its description in RNAcentral is "16S rRNA". It matches the Rfam family "Bacterial large subunit ribosomal RNA", at positions 274 to 2854 of the family's 2925-position model. The record is from RNAcentral. Lineage: Eukaryota; Metazoa; Chordata; Mammalia; Artiodactyla; Balaenopteridae.